RNAcentral lists this ribosomal RNA (404 nucleotides) under Calicium nobile. RNAcentral's name for it is "mitochondrial SSU rRNA". It matches the Rfam family "Bacterial small subunit ribosomal RNA", at positions 352 to 750 of the family's 1533-position model. Lineage: Eukaryota; Fungi; Ascomycota; Lecanoromycetes; Caliciales; Caliciaceae. The record is from RNAcentral.
CAGUGAGGAAUAUUGGUCAAUAGCCUAACGGCUGAACCAGCAACUUGAAGGAAUGUAUAGCGAAAGCUAGUUGCAUUUCAUUAUAAAUAAUGAGUGCAAUAUUGACUCGAUCAAAUAAAGUUCUGGGUGGAAUUUGAUGAUGACAUUUUCUAUCCAUGUGUCUUGACCAAAUUACGUGCCAGCAGUCGCGGUAAUACGUAAAAGACUAGUGUUAUUCAUCUUUAAUUGGUUUAAAGGGUACCUAGACGGCUAAACAAACCCCCCACAAGGAGGGAAUUCUUUAGCUAGAGUUUCAUAUAAGAGGGCAUAAAAGUACUGAAAACGUAUAGAGAUGAAAUUCUGUGAUACUAUAUAUGGCACUGGUAAAGGCGAAAGCAUCCCCUUAUGUAAUAACUGACGUUGAA